GGGGAUGUAUUGGCUUCGACGGGGGUAUGGAAGAUCUGGUAAGCGAGUAGAAGGAAGUCAUGGACCUGCUUUAAACAACUAUGGCAAAAUAUAAACGCUGAAGAUAAUUUAGCACUAGUAGCGUAAGCUACUACGUCUUACCUAGGAUGUCCGCUGCUUAGGAUAAGGCGACGAUUAGCGGAAAAACGAGUCUGAGUAAGCUUUGCCUCAGAAACGGGAAACAUGAAGCUACCAAUAGUAAAGGCUGCUUGUAAACUUUACUAAAGGGAAAUUUGAUUACAAAACUACACUCGUAGAAAGCCUUAUUUUACGACUUUCGGACAGGGGUUCGACACCCCUCAUCUCCACCA
Molecule: transfer-messenger RNA, 350 nt
Filed under: Clostridium sp.
Lineage: Bacteria; Bacillati; Bacillota; Clostridia; Eubacteriales; Clostridiaceae
Rfam family: transfer-messenger RNA
About the family: Bacterial tmRNA, also known as 10Sa RNA or SsrA, is named for its dual tRNA and mRNA-like properties. Its role is to liberate the mRNA from a stalled ribosome.
Source: RNAcentral